GCCACUGCAAUUCGUUAAUCCCUUUGGAAAAUUGCUUAAGCCUGGCAUGUUUUGUAAUGAACUUUAUCUCUUCACUACCAAAAGUCGUAAAAAGGAACUUCAGUGAGGAAAGAAACACAAUUGAUAAUUGAAUAUUUCAAAGAGAUCAGCAUUUUAGAAAACUGGCUUUUUGGAUUGGCUCACAGUUUUCCUACUUUUCUGUCCUGUCAGUUGAGAAGAAUACAUUUCAAGAGAUGCUCUUGGAAAACACGUUUGAUGGAGAGGUUGAUUUUUGUAACCUGUAUGCCGUAGUCAGAAGAGCCGUCCUCUGGCAGAUAUGUGAAAGAACUGCCUAUGAGGAGCGAGAGGCUACUUCGCACACCUCGCAGCUCAGGUCCCCGGAGACGGCUUUACAGGCACACAAGCCCCUCUCCCAAGCCAUCUGCCAGGAGCCCCAUGAGGAACACAGCACAGCGCCUGCAUCAGAAGCCCAUGGGUUUGCCUAUCACAUGUCUUGUUUUCUCCUGAUCCGUGGCUCACAGGCUCAGUGUGACCCAACCUCCUAGAUUUCCCCAUCAGUGCUAUUUGCAGUGCCCCCAAGCACUUUCCUCCACUCCAGUCCCUGAGCGCAUGCCAACGGCCCUAUUUUCAGCCACCCCUCUCCAUGCCUCUUGUCUGUCUCUAGCUGACAAGCAGAUUAUCUCUUCUGUCCACUUUGUUUGCCAAUGUACUUUGGCACCAUUGAAUUCCAACACAUGAAGUAAACUGAACUGUGUACAACGCUGAGCACACACGUGGUUUGGAGAGCAGCCCCUUGUCAGGAUCCAAAAUGUUCCCAAGCCUUGUUGAUAUUUGGGUCACUGCAGAUCUCUGAGUCCCCCUUCCUUUUUAAUCUUCUUCCCCUCAACUCAUUCUCAAUUUCUCUCUCUGAAACCACCUGUGAACACACUUAUGCAUUCAAAUAGAUGCAUACUGUUCAUGCUUAUAUUUUUCUGUAACCGUCAUAUCUAAUAAAUACUUAUCAUCCAGG
Molecule: long non-coding RNA, 1009 nt
Filed under: Homo sapiens (human)
Lineage: Eukaryota; Metazoa; Chordata; Mammalia; Primates; Hominidae
Description: non-protein coding LINC00705:2
Source: RNAcentral